CUUUCCGCUGGCGCUGCCCGCCUUCGACCCGGUGUUGCCGCUGCGGCGGUGAUGGAGCGUAGACCCCUGAGGUCCGCUCUGCGCUGCUGGCGGAGACGAGGCCGCGGGGACCGCAGCGCCGGGCGACCACACCCUCGGUUUGAGGGACAAGCCUGCCUUUUGCGCACUUGGACUUUUCCCCACCCUCUUCUAAGUCUUAGUGCCUCCGUACCAGGAUAAAGUCCUGUCGCAGUUUUGAACCAGAAAUGAAAACCACCUGAGACAAAAACGUCAAGACUUUGACGCUGCAGAGGAGUCAGGAAACAAAGGAAAUCGGGAAACAAUCCCUUUUCUAUUCUCAGCAGACAGUGCUCCCCGGCCCGAAUUCCGGAUAAAGAUUUGCCUGAGAUUCCCAAGCAUCUCAAUGCCGGUACCCACAGUUCUAUUCACAUUUGUCCAACGAAUGUGAAGAAAACAGCAACCAAAUGACAGCCACAGAAUUGCAUCAAAAUGAAUGGCCGCUCCGUGUGAGAUCAGGGCUCUUGUUCUCCUGCCUCCGCGGCACCCCGUGCCGAGGACACGACACACAGCUGGAGAAAUGUACGUGAGCCCCAGAAAUCAGGUCCGGUUUGCAUGCGCUCUCAUGACAGUACCACGGCCUAGAUGUUAAUAAAGAGAAAACAUCAACAAUUUUCUCUUGGAAACUUUGUAAUCUAACAGUCCAUGGAUUUAUCCCUCACGUAACUCCUAACACAUAACUUAGGAGAUACUAGUUUUAAUUAAGUAUAUUCACCCGCAUGCCAGAAUUUGAUCACUUCCUUAACAUAAGAGCUGAAGAAACAGAGCAGACGAAACCGGAGGAAGAGUGCACGUGUUCUACCACAGACACCCACUCCCAGGGACCGUGACAACAGCCGAGGGUGGCAGGGUUCCGCCCUGCCCAGAACGAGGGCUCGGGUUUGGUGCCGUCCCACGAGCCAGCACUGCGGAUCUCAGGGUAAAGAAGUGAGCUCCCGAGACUGUUUUCUAGCAGACAGGUCCCCUCGGUGCGUGGCACUUGGGGUGAAUUUUCAAGCUUGGACCCGUGAGAGAGGGCGGAAACAAAGCAGCAUUGGCUCGUCUCAGAGCCAGAUCGAUGUGGAAGAUUUUCCAGUUUGUCACUCCAACGGCUAGAAUGUGCCAGGAAGAUGGAAGCGUGUGGGCAGGGAUGGGAAUCUGGUUCUUUUUAGAGGACGACGUGGGCCCCGUGAGACCUAAGACCCAGGUCGUCUGAAGACCUAAGAGGGGCCAAUACAAGAACGUUGUGUGGCCCUUUCACUCUCUUAGUAGGAAUACACCUGCAAAUGGUUCUUUCCUUUUUUCUCUAUUCCUCCUCAGGGCACCUUCCUAAACCUCGGCCAUCCCAUAAAUCAAAAGACUCUCCUGAUUCCUCUAUGUGUUUUUGUUUUUUUCUCUAACUAGGGACACGCCUAACUCCACCACUUUCCAUGUCUGCCUUUCACUUUAAAAACUGUAGUAUGGAUUUAAAAUAGCAUUU
This 1516-nucleotide long non-coding RNA is filed under the name Sus scrofa (pig). RNAcentral describes it as "lncRNA (ENSSSCG00045021380.1)". Lineage: Eukaryota; Metazoa; Chordata; Mammalia; Artiodactyla; Suidae. The record is from RNAcentral.